RNAcentral lists this non-coding RNA (249 nucleotides) under Clostridium sp. RNAcentral's name for it is "T-box sequence". It matches the Rfam family "T-box leader". From Rfam's summary of the family: Uncharged tRNA acts as the effector for transcription antitermination of genes in the T-box leader family. Lineage: Bacteria; Bacillati; Bacillota; Clostridia; Eubacteriales; Clostridiaceae. The record is from RNAcentral.
AUUAAAACGUUGACCAAGAGUAAGUACACAAUAAUAAUUGUUUUCAGAAAGUUGGUGGUUGAUGAAAACCAACACAGUUUUAUUGUUGGAAUGGGCUUGUGAGCAGAAGCUGAAAUUCUUUUUAGAAUAGUAUGCAACUCGGGUUCUCCCGUUAUAGAGAACGCUGUAUUUUUUGUACGGUAUGAGUGGGUUAUUUUUGAUAACCAAUUAAGGUGGCACCACGUAAUAAAUAGAUAUUACGCCCUUUGU